RNAcentral lists this ribosomal RNA (377 nucleotides) under Taxonus agrorum. Its description in RNAcentral is "partial 12S ribosomal RNA". The record is from RNAcentral. Lineage: Eukaryota; Metazoa; Arthropoda; Insecta; Hymenoptera; Tenthredinidae.
UUAAGAUUUGAAAAAAAAUUAGAAGAUUAAUAGGUAUGUUCUUUAAAUUUAAAAAAAUUGGCGGUAUUUAAAUCUAAUUAGGGGAAUUUGUUUAUUAAAUGAUAAUCCGCAAGAGACCUUACUUUAAUUAAAAAUUUAUUUAUUGCCGUUAUCAGAUUAUUUUUUAAGAAAUUAAAUUUUCUAAUUUAUUUAUUUAAUAGUAUUUUUAAAUUAUAAUUAUAAUUAUUUCAGGUCAUUAUGUAGUUUAUAUUAAAGUUUAAAUGAAUUACAAUAAAAUUUAUUUAUACGGAUAAAAUAUUGAAAAUUAUAUAUUUUUGAAGGUGGACUUAAUAGUAAAAAUAAAUAAUUUAUUUUUUUGAAUUAAGAAUUAAAUAUGU